Molecule: long non-coding RNA, 451 nt
Filed under: Amborella trichopoda
Lineage: Eukaryota; Viridiplantae; Streptophyta; Magnoliopsida; Amborellales; Amborellaceae
Description: long non-coding RNA (ATRI_LNC005295)
Source: RNAcentral
UCUGUGCUUAUGGUUUAUAGAGAGAAGAAGGACGAAGGAAGAGGCUCAUAGCCACAAGGGUUUAUAGAGAGAGAAGAAGUAGGAAAACUUCAUCGGCUUUGGUUUAUAGAGAGAGAAGAAGGAAGAAGGAAGAGUUCGUUUGCUUCACCAACCCUAAUGGAAGAGACCCUAAGUGAUUUUUAGAGAGAAAAAAAGAAAGGAAGAUGGGAUGCUGAUUUGGGAUAGUUUGAAGAGGAUUUUUUUCUCUGAUUUGAGUUGUUGUUGUUUGAGAGAAAGCCCUAAUUAUACUGAGUUCUUGUUGAGAAAAAACCCUAAUUAUGCUGAGUUCUUGUUUGAGAGAAAGCCCAAGUUAUACUGAUUUGUGAUGAGGCCCUAACUGAUUUUUUGAUUUGUGAAGAGGCCUUGACUUUCAUAGAGAGAAAAGGAAGAGGGUUUUUCAUUUUGUCGGGGA